RNAcentral lists this ribosomal RNA (252 nucleotides) under uncultured bacterium. RNAcentral describes it as "partial 16S ribosomal RNA". It matches the Rfam family "Bacterial small subunit ribosomal RNA", at positions 524 to 776 of the family's 1533-position model. The record is from RNAcentral.
UACAGAGGUCCCGAGCGUUGUUCGGAUUCAUUGGGCGUAAAGGGUGCGUAGGCGGCGGGGUAAGUUUGAUGUGAAAUUCCGGGCUCAACCCUGGCAUGGCAUUGAAUACUACCUUGCUAGAGUACCGGAGAGGAAACUGGAAUUUACGGUGUAGCAGUGAAAUGCGUAGAGAUCGUAAGGAAGACCAGUGGCGAAGGCGAGUUUCUGGACGGUAACUGACGCUGAGGCACGAAGGCCAGGGGAGCAAACGGG